AUGAACGCUAGCGGCAGGCUUAACACAUGCAAGUCGAGGGGCAACACGGGUAGCAAUACCUGGUGGCGACCGGCGCAAGGGUGCGUAACGCGUGAGCAACAUGCCCUAUACAGGGGGAUAAUCCAGGGAAACUUGGUCUAAUAUCCCAUAGUAUUUAGAGGUGGCAUCACCACUAAAUUAAAGCUUCGGUGGUAUAGGAUUGGCUCGCGUGACAUUAGCUGGAUGGUGGGGUAACGGCUCACCAUGGCGAUGAUGUCUAGGGGUUCUGGGAGGAAGACCCCCCACACUGGGACUGAGACACGGCCCAGACUCCUACGGGAGGCAGCAGUGAGGAAUAUUGGACAAUGGAUGGAAAUCUGAUCCAGCCAUGCCGCGUGCAGGAAGACGGCCCUAUGGGUUGUAAACUGCUUUUAUAUGGGAGCAAUAAGGUCUACGUGUAGACUGAUGAGAGUACCAUAUGAAUAAGCAUCGGCUAACUCCGUG
Molecule: ribosomal RNA, 483 nt
Filed under: uncultured bacterium
Lineage: Bacteria
Description: bacterial SSU rRNA
Rfam family: Bacterial small subunit ribosomal RNA
Source: RNAcentral